GAUGAACGCUCGCGGGAGGCCUAACACAUGCAAGCCGAGCGGUAGAGUUUCUUCGGAAACUUGAGAGCGGCGCACGGGUGCGUAACACGUGUGCAACCUACCUUUAUCUGGGGGAUAGCCUUUCGAAAGGAAGAUUAAUACCCCAUAAUAUAAUGAUUGGCAUCAAUUAUUAUUGAAAACUCCGGUGGAUAGAGAUGGGCACGCGCAAGAUUAGAUAGUUGGUGAGGUAACGGCUCACCAAGUCAAUGAUCUUUAGGGGUCCUGAGAGGGAGAUCCCCCACACUGGUACUGAGACACGGACCAGACUCCUACGGGAGGCAGCAGUGAGGAAUAUUGGACAAGGGGUGAGAGCCUGAUCCAGCCAUCCCGCGUGAAGGAUGACGGUCCUAUGGAUUGUAAACUUCUUUUGUACAGGGAUAAACCUACCCUCGGGAGGGUAGCUGAAGGUACUGUACGAAUAAGCACCGGCUAACUCCGUG
This 479-nucleotide ribosomal RNA is filed under the name uncultured bacterium. RNAcentral describes it as "partial 16S ribosomal RNA". It matches the Rfam family "Bacterial small subunit ribosomal RNA", at positions 28 to 507 of the family's 1533-position model. The record is from RNAcentral.